UUCACCAUGUUGCCCAGGCUGGUCUUGAAAUCCUGACCUCAGGCAAUCUGUCUGCCUCAGCCUCCCAAAGUGCUGAGUUUACAGGCAUGAGCCACCAUACAAGACGACUGCAAAUCCUUUACUAUUAGUUGAGUUUUAUGGCAAAACUUUCCCAUAACUUUGCUGAUAGUACUAUUGCAUUAUUGAAUUUUAAAUCUUGGCCAAUCUUCAUAUUUCUUCUUUUGAUGGAUAUUUUAAAAAACAAGAGCGAGGCUGAACAUCUCGAUGUUAUUUGCUUUCUUUUUACGGAGCUGGAUUUCUUACUAUUUUUGCUCUUUUUCUUUGGAUUCUUGAAAAGCAUUUACUUUUAAGAAUGUGUAUUAAAAUUAAUUUUUUUCUGUCCUAUGUUGCAAGAUAUUGCCUCUUAAUUUUUGGAGGGCACUUUGGAUUAAUUUCUAUGAAGUUAAAUUGGUCCACAUUUUUCUUUCAGAACUGUAAAAUCCAUGCAUUUCCCAGGAUUUUGUUUGGGGGACGUGGGGACUCCUUCACCAAAUGUGAAGUUUUUACUUACUCUCAUGUCUCUUUCUGAGCUCUCCCUUCUGCUCCAUGGGUCUAUUUUCUUGUUUUUGCAAUAUUGCCACACUGUUUUUAUCAUUCCUGUGACUUUGUAGCAAUUCUUUUAAAAAGUUAAAAAGAAAAGAAAAGAAAAGGUCUCACUUGCACACAGAGAAGCUGUAGAAUUGUGUUUUUGCUCCCUCGAUAAUGACUGGGGCUGGGGUGUUUCCUUAGGGAUGACCUGGCGCAGCUGCCCUUCCUGACCAGGUGCGUGAAGGAGAGCCUGCGGUUACAUCCCCCAGUCCCUGCCGUCUCCCGCCGCUGCACCCAAGACAUUGCUCUCCCAGACGGCCGGGUCAUCCCCAAAGGCGUUAUCUGCCUCAUCAGUGUUUUCGGAACCCAUCACAACCCAGCUGUGUGGCCGGACCCCGAGGUCUACGACCCCUUCCGCUUCGACCCGGAGAACAGCAAGGAGAGGUCACCUCUGGCUUUUAUUCCCUUCUCGGCAGGGCCCAGGUAAGG
Cebus imitator (Panamanian white-faced capuchin) is the source of this 1056-nucleotide long non-coding RNA. RefSeq lists it as uncharacterized. Lineage: Eukaryota; Metazoa; Chordata; Mammalia; Primates; Cebidae. The transcript is spliced from 3 exons. The record is from RefSeq and is a predicted model, not a curated record.